Molecule: ribosomal RNA, 253 nt
Filed under: uncultured bacterium
Lineage: Bacteria
Description: partial 16S ribosomal RNA
Rfam family: Bacterial small subunit ribosomal RNA
Source: RNAcentral
GACGUAGGUGGCAAGCGUUGUUCGGAAUUACUGGGCGUAAAGGGCGCGUAGGCGGCCUGUUAAGUCGGACGUGAAAUCCCUCGGCUCAACCGGGGAACUGCGUCCGAUACUGGCGGGCUUGAAUUCGGGAGAGGGAUGUGGAAUUCCAGGUGUAGCGGUGAAAUGCGUAGAUAUCUGGAGGAACACCGGUGGCGAAGGCGGCAUCCUGGACCGACAUUGACGCUGAGGCGCGAAAGCCAGGGGAGCAAACGGG